GCCAAAAGAGCUCAGUUGGGAGAGCGUUAGACUGAAAAUCUAAAUGUACCUGGUUCGAUGCCUGGUUUCGGCA
RNAcentral lists this transfer RNA (73 nucleotides) under Gadus morhua (Atlantic cod). RNAcentral's name for it is "tRNA-Phe (GAA) (tRNA-Phe-GAA-13-1)". It matches the Rfam family "tRNA". Rfam says of the family: Transfer RNA (tRNA) molecules are approximately 80 nucleotides in length. Their secondary structure includes four short double-helical elements and three loops (D, anti-codon, and T loops). The record is from Rfam by way of RNAcentral. Lineage: Eukaryota; Metazoa; Chordata; Actinopteri; Gadiformes; Gadidae.